CCAUAUUUAGUUUUUAUAUAUCUAUUUAUUUUCUUUAUUUACUUUUGGCUUGAAUAUGCCCAUGUCAUUUGGAGAAGGCGUUGCUAUCUGAUCAGAUAAAAUUUUCUUGUUACCUCCGAUUCAAGAUUUAUGUAUAGAUAAAUACAGAGGGAGAUCUGAUAAGUUACUUUACUAUAUCAGAUGAGGCUUAAUGAAAACCAAAAUAUUAAAUGUAUAAAAACGUAUACAUGGGCGCCUUCGUUGAUGAUAAACU
Molecule: non-coding RNA, 253 nt
Organism: Schizosaccharomyces pombe (fission yeast)
Lineage: Eukaryota; Fungi; Ascomycota; Schizosaccharomycetes; Schizosaccharomycetales; Schizosaccharomycetaceae
Source: the annotation of a GenBank genome assembly